This is a long non-coding RNA of Callorhinus ursinus (northern fur seal), 1239 nucleotides long. RefSeq lists it as uncharacterized. Lineage: Eukaryota; Metazoa; Chordata; Mammalia; Carnivora; Otariidae. The record is from RefSeq and is a predicted model, not a curated record.
GCUUUUUUUCUCCACUUCUCUCCAAUUUUGUGGGAAACAGAACGCCACAACGACCACUGUUCUUUUGCCGCCCCAGGUCCCCGACUCUCCGAGGUGGACAAGUGGCACCUGAACAGGGACCUGAAGCCCCCGUCGAGAAGUGAUCGACCAGCCCUAGGAACCCUACAGAAGUUGGUGACUCUACUUUAGAUCGUCCUCACACUCUAUCCUCAGAGGCAGAGGCCGAACUGCAGUUUGUUGAGGAGCGAUUAAAAACUGCCUUUGCUUACAGCUUGUAUCAGUGUCCCUCAGAACAGAUGUGCCCAAGGUCACCCUUCAGGAAAUGCUGAUCCAGUGCUUUAUUUGGAAAGACAGAUGAAGAGACUCUCUGAAGACUUCCUGGGCUACCUGGCUGCUCUUGGCCUUGGCCUUAGCCCCUGGCUUGGGUGACUUCACAAAGACUCCCCACAGGGGACCUGACUGUUUAUUCCAAAUUUCUGCCUUAACAACCGUCAUUUUCCCCAUCCCUCUGCAUCUCCUAUUAGGUCUAGCAAUUCUGUUCAUCUUUCCACCUUGGUAUCAAAUCACCUUCUGCUUGGUGAUGGGACUCCUGUUUGCCAUGGAUACGGGGCCAUCUUUGUGUAGAGAGACCUUCAAAGCUCAAAGAGAGCCUGGAUGAAUUGCAAAGUCAAAUGGAGCCAGGGCCCUCUGGGCAAAUGGCUUUUCUUGCCAAGGUAUAACCGCAGUGGCGGCAGCAACCUCUGUUCCAGCCAGUUUUCCUCCUCCCGCAGCCUCUCUCCGCAGCGACCUGGCUAAGGAGACUCCAACCAUCCUUUAACCUUCAAGGAAAACAAGGGGCCUGUGAUCUCCAGAGCUAAAUUGUCAUAGGCCCCACCCUCACUGGAUUUCUGAAGGUCAAGGCACAGAGUCAGCCCAGCCAGCUCUAUAAGGACUCAUAGCAAAUGUGUUUUCACAGAUCCCAGAUGGAGGCUCCUCAAAUACAUGGAAACUCAGUAAAUUCUGCUUCUAUUUUCAAAAUAAGUCCAGCAAGCUGACAACUAGCACCUUGGUCCAAGGCACUAUCAUCUCUCAAUUGACUUGGAUUACUACAGUCAGCACCUGACUGGUCCCCCGAAGCUCACCCUUGCCACCGUAAAGUCUAUUCUCACCACAACAGCCCAAAUGGUCCUUCUAAAAUGUGUGCUGUAGGGGCGCCUGGCUGGCUCGGUUGUUAAGCAUCUGCUUCGGCUCAGGUCAUGA